Non-coding RNA from Nothobranchius furzeri (turquoise killifish), 557 nucleotides. NCBI's taxonomy places the organism in Eukaryota, Metazoa, Chordata, Actinopteri, Cyprinodontiformes, Nothobranchiidae. The record is from RefSeq and is a predicted model, not a curated record.
GCUCUUUAAUCUUCUUAGGAAUUACAUGAUGUCCACACAAGGCGUACCACUGUUCUCCAUGCCCUUCCUGUCUAUCUACGUGAGGAAACCUCUGGAUUUUUGAGGACAUGUGUGGAUGAUACCAAUGAGCCGGACCUCAGGGAUGCAGCAGUUGUCCUCCUGACAACCAUCACAGAUGAUGCCGAGAGUCCAGUUACGUACGACCCAGUGAGAAUCUGUUAUCCUCGAGGGUGAUGUGAUUGUCAACCUCUCCAGCCUUCCUGAUGCCUUCCUGGGCAUGCUCAGUUGAAGUUUCCAUCUCUGCGCGUUCAAGAUGUAAGAAAAAUAACACGAAAGAAAUGCAACAAUGAAAACUUCAAAAAGGCAUCAACAACCAAGCAAGUGGAUCCAUAAAAUGGACUGAUUUUUUAAAGGCAUUUUUAAAAAGUCUUUCAAAAUGGACAGAAUUAACGCGUCAUGUUCAGAACAGUUUGCGUUCUCAUCUUUGAUUAAUCCUGGUAAACAGGUCUGUUUUUGUUCUGUUCUAAUUCUCUGUUUAAUAAAUUUAAACAAAAUGA